This 494-nucleotide ribosomal RNA is filed under the name uncultured bacterium. RNAcentral's name for it is "partial 16S ribosomal RNA". It matches the Rfam family "Bacterial small subunit ribosomal RNA", at positions 28 to 507 of the family's 1533-position model. The record is from RNAcentral.
GACGAACGCUGGCGGCGUGCUUAACACAUGCAAGUCGAACGGUGAAGCGCCUUCCUUUUUGGUGGGUGUGGAUGAGUGGCGAACGGGUGAGAAACACGUGAGUAACCUGCCCCCUUCUUCUGGAUAACCGCAUGAAAGUGUGGCUAAUACGGGAUAUUCUGGGUCUGUCGCAUGAUGGGUCUGGGAAAGAUAUUGUUUCGGUGGGGGAUGGGCUCGCGGCCUAUCAGCUUGUUGGUGGGGUGAUGGCCUACCAAGGCGGUGACGGGUAGCCGGCCUGAGAGGGUGGACGGUCACACUGGGACUGAGACACGGCCCAGACUCCUACGGGAGGCAGCAGUGGGGAAUAUUGCACAAUGGGCGCAAGCCUGAUGCAGCGACGCCGCGGGAGGGAUGGAGGCCUGCGGGUUGUGAACCUCUUUCGCCAGUGAAGCAGGCCUGCCUCGUUUGUGGGUGGGUUGACGGUAGCUGGAGAAGAAGCGCCGGCUAACUACGUG